ACGCCACCUUCGGGUGGAGUGGCAGACGGGUGAGUAACGCGUGGGAACGUACCUAUUGGUUCGGAAUAUUCUCGGGAAACUGAGAGCAAUACCGAAUAAGCCCUGAGGGGGAAAGAUUUAUCGCCAAUAGAUCGGCCCGCGUUAGAUUAGGUAGUUGGUAGGGUAAUGGCCUACCAAGCCUACGAUCUAUAGCUGGUCUGAGAGGAUGAUCAGCCACAUUGGGACUGAGACACGGCCCAAACUCCUACGGGAGGCAGCAGUGGGGAAUAUUGGACAAUGGGCGCAAGCCUGAUCCAGCCAUGCCGCGUGAAUGAUGAAGGCCUUAGGGUUGUAAAAUUCUUUCAACGGUGAAGAUAAUGACGGUAACCGUAGAAGAAGCCCCGGCUAACUUCGUGCCAGCAGCCGCGGUAAUACGAAGGGGGCUAGCGUUGUUCGGAAUUACUGGGCGUAAAGCGCACGUAGGCGGGCUGAUUAGUUGGUGGUGAAAUCCCAGAGCUCAACUCUGGAACUGCCAUCAAUACUGUCAGCCUGGAGCAUAGUAGAGGUUAGUGGAAUUCCAAGUGUAGAGGUGAAAUUCGUAGAUAUUUGGAGGAACACCAGUGGCGAAGGCGACUGACUGGGCUAUUGCUGACGC
Molecule: ribosomal RNA, 634 nt
Filed under: Aquidulcibacter paucihalophilus
Lineage: Bacteria; Pseudomonadati; Pseudomonadota; Alphaproteobacteria; Caulobacterales; Caulobacteraceae
Description: bacterial SSU rRNA
Rfam family: Bacterial small subunit ribosomal RNA
Source: RNAcentral